This 164-nucleotide ribosomal RNA is filed under the name uncultured bacterium. RNAcentral's name for it is "partial 16S rRNA". It matches the Rfam family "Bacterial small subunit ribosomal RNA", at positions 355 to 511 of the family's 1533-position model. The record is from RNAcentral.
UAGGGAAUCUUCGGCAAUGGGGCAACCCUGACCGAGCAACGCCGCGUGAGUGAAGAAGGUUUUCGGAUCGUAAAGCUCUGUUGUAAGAGAAGAACGUGUGUGAGAGUGGAAAGUUCACACAGUGACGGUAACUUACCAGAAAGGGACGGCUAACUACGUGUCAG